CAGCAGCCACGGUAAUACGAAGGGUGCAAGCGUUACUCGGAAUUACUGGGCGUAAAGCGUGCGUAGGUGGUGGUUUAAGUCCGUUGUGAAAGCCCUGGGCUCAACCUGGGAAUUGCAGUGGAUACUGGGUCACUAGAGUGUGGUAGAGGAUAGUGGAAUUUCCGGUGUAGCAGUGAGAUGCGUAGAGAUCGGAAGGAACAUCUGUGGCGAAGGCGACUAUCUGGGCCAACACUGACACUGAGGCACGAAAGCGUGGGGAGCAAACAGGAUUAGAUACCCCCGUAGUCCCUGUCUCUUAUAC
This 301-nucleotide ribosomal RNA is filed under the name uncultured bacterium. Its description in RNAcentral is "partial 16S ribosomal RNA". It matches the Rfam family "Bacterial small subunit ribosomal RNA", at positions 509 to 807 of the family's 1533-position model. The record is from RNAcentral.